Molecule: ribosomal RNA, 720 nt
Filed under: Pseudomonas parafulva
Lineage: Bacteria; Pseudomonadati; Pseudomonadota; Gammaproteobacteria; Pseudomonadales; Pseudomonadaceae
Description: bacterial SSU rRNA
Rfam family: Bacterial small subunit ribosomal RNA
Source: RNAcentral
GACGGGUGAGUAAUGCCUAGGAAUCUGCCUGGUAGUGGGGGACAACGUUUCGAAAGGAACGCUAAUACCGCAUACGUCCUACGGGAGAAAGCAGGGGACCUUCGGGCCUUGCGCUAUCAGAUGAGCCUAGGUCGGAUUAGCUUGUUGGUGAGGUAAUGGCUCACCAAGGCGACGAUCCGUAACUGGUCUGAGAGGAUGAUCAGUCACACUGGAACUGAGACACGGUCCAGACUCCUACGGGAGGCAGCAGUGGGGAAUAUUGGACAAUGGGCGAAAGCCUGAUCCAGCCAUGCCGCGUGUGUGAAGAAGGUCUUCGGAUUGUAAAGCACUUUAAGUUGGGAGGAAGGGUUGUAGAUUAAUACUCUGCAAUUUUGACGUUACCGACAGAAUAAGCACCGGCUAACUCUGUGCCAGCAGCCGCGGUAAUACAGAGGGUGCAAGCGUUAAUCGGAAUUACUGGGCGUAAAGCGCGCGUAGGUGGUUUGUUAAGUUGGAUGUGAAAGCCCCGGGCUCAACCUGGGAACUGCAUCCAAAACUGGCAAGCUAGAGUACGGUAGAGGGUGGUGGAAUUUCCUGUGUAGCGGUGAAAUGCGUAGAUAUAGGAAGGAACACCAGUGGCGAAGGCGACCACCUGGACUGAUACUGACACUGAGGUGCGAAAGCGUGGGGAGCAAACAGGAUUAGAUACCCUGGUAGUCCACGCCGUAAACGAUGUCAACU